UACAAUGGUCAUGCCACCCUGAACGUUCCGGAUCUCAUCUGAUCUUGGAAGCUAAGCAGGAUCGGGCCUGGUUAAUGCUUGGAAGGGAGACCACCGAGGAAUACCAAGUGCUGUAGGCG
Molecule: ribosomal RNA, 119 nt
Filed under: Pteropus alecto (black flying fox)
Lineage: Eukaryota; Metazoa; Chordata; Mammalia; Chiroptera; Pteropodidae
Source: RNAcentral